CGGAGUGGUGGCCGAGUGGUUGAAGGCGACGGUCUUGAAAACCGCUGUGUCGCAAGGCACCGGGGGUUCGAAUCCCCCCUGCUCCGCGGG
RNAcentral lists this transfer RNA (90 nucleotides) under Treponema pallidum subsp. pallidum str. Chicago. Its description in RNAcentral is "tRNA-Ser". It matches the Rfam family "tRNA". Rfam says of the family: Transfer RNA (tRNA) molecules are approximately 80 nucleotides in length. Their secondary structure includes four short double-helical elements and three loops (D, anti-codon, and T loops). The record is from RNAcentral. Lineage: Bacteria; Pseudomonadati; Spirochaetota; Spirochaetia; Treponematales; Treponemataceae.